This 107-nucleotide ribosomal RNA is filed under the name Sinocyclocheilus rhinocerous. Lineage: Eukaryota; Metazoa; Chordata; Actinopteri; Cypriniformes; Cyprinidae. The record is from RNAcentral.
UCCGGCAGCGAUAUCACCCUGUAGCCCAAGACUGGUUACCCACUGAAGCUAAGCAGGGCUGAGCCUGGUCAGUACCUGGAUGGACAUCAUCCAGGUGGAUGCUGCAC